Long non-coding RNA from Dermochelys coriacea (leatherback sea turtle), 669 nucleotides. RefSeq lists it as uncharacterized. The transcript is spliced from 4 exons. The record is from RefSeq and is a predicted model, not a curated record. Lineage: Eukaryota; Metazoa; Chordata; Testudines; Dermochelyidae.
UGAUUCUAACAACCCAAUAACAGCUCCUAUGUUUUAGCUAGACAAACAUAUGUACACCAGCACAAGAAACAAAAUUCUGCUUCUGAGACUACAGCUACACUACAGCCAGGAUCGAUGCUCUGAGAUCAAUCCAGGGGCGGUCGUUUUAGCAGGUCUAGUGAAGACCCACCAAAUCAACAGCAGAUCGCUCUCCAGUCGACCCCUGUACUCUACCCCCAACGAGAAGAGUAAGGUUCUGAGGAAUAUCAGGCAGGAUGGAGCAGCAAUAAUUGACUGCUCCCAGAUGGUUCAGACAAUUCUGGUUCCCUACCACAGGGGUGGGCAAACUUUUUGCUGCAAGGGCCACAUCUGGAAUUAAGAAGGACUCUGAGCUCAGGGAUUCAUGUUGAUUAGCCUACUUAUCCAUGAAAGUCACCUUUCUAAAUUGCCAUCACCUCAGCAAGAAAGAGCAUGAGGAGGAGAAGAGCACAGGCACAGACUAACAGAUAAGGCUAGAAAAAGAUAUUCCCGUCAGUUGCAUGGAGCACAUGUGGAAUACAGGUAGACUAUGCAUCUUGAAUAACUCCAGUUCCUGUACUAAGUAACUUCUUUCCACUGAUUACAGUAAUAACUUGGCCUACAGAAUGUACUUUCUCCCAGAUUGCAGGUUCAAGGAUAUGGAUAAUAAUG